RNAcentral lists this ribosomal RNA (314 nucleotides) under uncultured bacterium. Its description in RNAcentral is "bacterial SSU rRNA". It matches the Rfam family "Bacterial small subunit ribosomal RNA", at positions 28 to 334 of the family's 1533-position model. The record is from RNAcentral.
GGUGAACGCUAGCGGCAGGCUUAACACAUGCAAGUCGAGGGGCAGCAUGAAGGUUAGCAAUAACCUUUGAUGGCGACCGGCGCAAGGGUGCGUAACGCGUGAGCAACUUGCCCGUUUCAGGGGGAUAACCGGUGGAAACGCCGACUAAUACCCCAUAGUACAACUUUGAGGCAUCUUUUAGUUGUUAAAGAAUUUCGGAAACGGAUAGGCUCGCGUGACAUUAGCUAGAUGGCGGGGUAACGGCCCACCAUGGCGACGAUGUCUAGGGGUUCUGAGAGGAAGGUCCCCCACACUGGAACUGAGACACGGUCCAG